CCUACGGGAGGCAGCAGUGAGGAAUAUUGGUCAAUGGCCGCAAGGCUGAACCAGCCAAGUCGCGUGAGGGAUGACGGUCCUAUGGAUUUUAAACCUCUUUUGUCAGGGAGCAAAGGGCGCCACGUGUGUCGUUUUGCGAGUACCUGAAGAAAAAGCAUCGGCAAACUCCGUGCCAGCAGCCGCGGUAAUACGGAGGAUGCGAGCGUUAUCCGAAUUUAUUGGGUUUAAAGGGUGCGCAGGCGGAAUGUCAAGUCAGCGGUAAAAUCUCGGGGCUCAACCCCGUCGUGCCGUUGAAACUGGCGUGCUUGAGUGAGCGAGAGGUAUGCGGAAUGCGUGGUGUAGCGGUGAAAUGCAUAGAUAUCACGAAGAACACCGGUUGCGAAGGCAGCAUACCGGCGGUCAACUGACGCUGAUGCACGAAAGCGUGGGUAUCGAACAGGAUUAGAUACCCGUGUAGUC
Molecule: ribosomal RNA, 459 nt
Filed under: uncultured bacterium
Lineage: Bacteria
Description: partial 16S ribosomal RNA
Rfam family: Bacterial small subunit ribosomal RNA
Source: RNAcentral